GUUUAAGAGUCCUCUCGAGUUAUAGAGACAUCAAAAAAAUGCAGACAUGAUCUCAAAUUCUCUACCCACAAAAAAGAAUAUACAACCAGUGAAAUCAAAUUUAGUAAGAGAUCGCUCUCAGCCCACAGAAGGACCGGAAGGAUAUAGACAUGUCAUCUGAACUACCUUCGGAAGCAAAAGAGUCUCAACCGUCAACUCUCCCCUUCUAUGUGUUUGUGAAAAGGUCUAGUUAGAUUUUUGAUGGUGGAACUUGGAACAUUCU
Molecule: unclassified non-coding RNA, 262 nt
Filed under: Hevea brasiliensis (rubber tree)
Lineage: Eukaryota; Viridiplantae; Streptophyta; Magnoliopsida; Malpighiales; Euphorbiaceae
Source: RNAcentral